ACGGAGGAUGCAAGCGUUAUCCGGAUUUAUUGGGUUUAAAGGGAGCGCAGACGGGUCGUUAAGUCAGCUGUGAAAGUUUGGGGCUCAACCUUAAAAUUGCAGUUGAUACUGGCGUCCUUGAGUGCGGUUGAGGUGUGCGGAAUUCGUGGUGUAGCGGUGAAAUGCUUAGAUAUCACGAAGAACUCCGAUUGCGAAGGCAGCACACUAAGCCGUAACUGACGUUCAUGCUCGAAAGUGUGGGUAUCAAACAGGAUUAGAUACCCUGGUAGUCCACACGGUAAACGAUGGAUACUCGCUGUUGGCGAUAUACGGUCAGCGGCUUAGCGAAAGCGUUAAGUAUCCCACCUGGGGAGUACGCCGGCAACGGUG
RNAcentral lists this ribosomal RNA (369 nucleotides) under uncultured bacterium. RNAcentral describes it as "bacterial SSU rRNA". It matches the Rfam family "Bacterial small subunit ribosomal RNA", at positions 525 to 896 of the family's 1533-position model. The record is from RNAcentral.